Molecule: unclassified non-coding RNA, 874 nt
Filed under: Hevea brasiliensis (rubber tree)
Lineage: Eukaryota; Viridiplantae; Streptophyta; Magnoliopsida; Malpighiales; Euphorbiaceae
Source: RNAcentral
AAAUUAUAUCACAUAUAUUAUAUUCUAAAUUUAAAUUCACAUUAGAUCCAAUCAAAAUCAGAAUUUUCCCUCUAAACCGUUUGAGAAACGUGGAUAAAUAAACUAGGGGAAAAAGUAAAGAAAAUUUUUAUUACAAUCAAACUCAAGGAACAUAAACAACUAAGAGGUAAACACUGCCCCCGAACAAAGUUAAACAGGAGUGUCAACAACCACAAAUUUUCACUGUGAGCGUCGCCACCCUGCUUAGAAACUUGCUUUGGUUUUGGUUUCCAGUGUUUCUUGGUUGCUUCUUCACCCGUUAAGACGAACAAGAAUUACGCCCAUGAGUCUGUGUUGGCCAGGCAAUGCCAUACUUAAUUAAUCUCCUUCACAGCCGAUUUGCAUCCGUAUCAGCCGAGGAAGUGAGCGAGUUGGUGGUAGUGGUGGUGCAACCAUGGUUUCAUGAAGUAGAAAUUCCAUGGUCUUGGGAGGACACAUUAAGGCCAGAUGAAGAAACCUUUGGUUUCCUGCCAUGUCCCUUUCCACUUCUACCUCCUGCUCCUCCUUGCAUUACUCCUCCUCUUGCUCCCUUCCCUUUCUUGAAAUUUUGCUGGUGUUCCACCUGUCCCUAAACAGAAUUUCUGAAAGUGAGAGCCAAAGCCAAGAGUCCCCUCCACAUCAUUGAACCCCCCGAAGUUCAUCUCAGAGGAAUUACGCUUGUCGUUGCAGCGGGAACUUUCACUGUAAGAUGCAUAAGAAGAAGAGGUAGAAGAAGACAAAGUAGUAGUAGGAGCAGCAGCAGCAGCUUGACAGCUUCCUCCAAAUGACUCGAUGUCCUCUUGGAACAUUUCUUCAAAUAAUUCCUGUAAAUCCUCAAAGCUCUCCUCCCCAUUUU